Astatotilapia calliptera (eastern happy) is the source of this 1027-nucleotide long non-coding RNA. The record is from Ensembl. NCBI's taxonomy places the organism in Eukaryota, Metazoa, Chordata, Actinopteri, Cichliformes, Cichlidae.
CACAGCUUGCAAUGACAUUCACAGUAAUCAUCGGCGCGCUUGAAUAUUCUCCUGGAUAUUGUUCGCUUUGCAGUGUUAUUGAUCAGGGAACUGAGGCUCAUUUGCACUCUGCAUAUGCCGUUCUGCAUAACAAAAUCCCCUAAACGUCUAAAGAUGUAAAUGUAAUUGUGAAGAUAAUGUAUUUUUGCUAUCAAGCAUGCUGCACUGCGUGAACUGCACUGUGUCAUUAAACCAACACGUACUAACCCUUCGCAAACAAGAGCUAAACUUUCCCUCCUCCUGUUUCUCCUUCUCUUCUACGUGUCUUUUCAUGCAGCUUGCAGAUUGGGUCAUGUUUUUUCAGUUUUUUUUCUGCCAUACUUAAGCAAUAUGCAAAUAGAAACUCAGAGCCUCUCACAAAAUCCCAAUCAGUCCCUUUCUGACCCUUUUCCGUUUUUCCCUUCUUUUUUUUUUUUUAAAGGCAACCCGCCAUCACUCAUCUUCUCUCUCGUCCAAUGCCUUUUUAGCUUUGUCGCUCAGACCAUCUCUCUUUCUCUCGCUCCCUGUCCCUGCAUCCCUUUGCCUCCUGUCACCCCCCCAUCUCCCCUUCUUUCCAUCCACAAUCUAUCCUUUCCAAUCUUCCCUUUUCCCCCUCUCUCUAUCAUGUUUCCCCCCCUCACACACUCACACUCUCUUCCUCUACCAGUAGUCAUUCUACUUAUAGCCUCGCCAUAAAUCAAGCUGUCAUUCUCCGUCAUGCUUGCUGCAUCUCACUGGGGCUCAUGGCACAUGCACACACACACAUGCACGCACGAACACACACACAUAAAAGGGAUAGCAGCCCACACAUACACAAGCUCAAAUGCAAGAAUAUACAUAUAGACCAGUAUUAUGCAGAUAACACACAUGCGCUGCAAGUGUAUAGGCUAUACUGAUUACAAUAAAAAAAUACACACACACAAACACUUCCUUUUUUAAUGUGACACAAACAUACAGUUUUUGCACAAACUCCAGUGUCCAAAAAACAAGCUGAUAUGCAGGAUAUCAC